GCCCGGGUGGCGGAACGGCAGACGCAGGCGGCUUAAACCCGCCGGCCCUGUAAUGGGGCGUGGGGGUUCGAGUCCCCCCCUGGGCA
Molecule: transfer RNA, 86 nt
Filed under: Acidimicrobiia bacterium
Lineage: Bacteria; Bacillati; Actinomycetota; Acidimicrobiia
Also listed under: 1 other name
Description: tRNA-Leu
Rfam family: tRNA
About the family: Transfer RNA (tRNA) molecules are approximately 80 nucleotides in length.
Source: RNAcentral